UGGGGAAUAUUGCACAAUGGGCGAAAGCCUGAUGCAGCGACGCCGCGUGAGGGAUGACGGCCUUCGGGUUGUAAACCUCUUUCAGCAGGGAAGAAGCGAGAGUGACGGUACCUGCAGAAGAAGCGCCGGCUAACUACGUGCCAGCAGCCGCGGUAAUACGUAGGGCGCAAGCGUUGUCCGGAAUUAUUGGGCGUAAAGAGCUCGUAGGCGGUUAGUCGCGUCUGCUGUGAAAACUCGAGGCUCAACCUCGGGCUUGCAGUGGGUACGGGCUGACUAGAGUGCGGUAGGGGUGACUGGAAUUCCUGGUGUAGCGGUGGAAUGCGCAGAUAUCAGGAGGAACACCGAUGGCGAAGGCAGGUCACUGGGCCGCAACUGACGCUGAGGAGCGAAAGCAUGGGGAGCGAACAGGAUUAGAUACCCUGGUAGUCCAUGCCGUAAACGUUGGGCACUAGGUGUGGGGUCCAUUCCACGGAUUCCGUGCCGCAGCAAACGCAUUAAGUGCCCCGCCUGGGGAGUACGGCCGCAAGGCUAAAACUCAAAUGAAUUGACGGGGUCAUAGCUGUUUCCU
This 568-nucleotide ribosomal RNA is filed under the name uncultured bacterium. Its description in RNAcentral is "partial 16S ribosomal RNA". It matches the Rfam family "Bacterial small subunit ribosomal RNA", at positions 355 to 1375 of the family's 1533-position model. The record is from RNAcentral.